This is a long non-coding RNA of Lemur catta (Ring-tailed lemur), 696 nucleotides long. RefSeq lists it as uncharacterized. The transcript has 4 exons. The record is from RefSeq and is a predicted model, not a curated record. NCBI's taxonomy places the organism in Eukaryota, Metazoa, Chordata, Mammalia, Primates, Lemuridae.
AUUAAAGACAUUAUCAAAUAGCACCAUAGACUCAAAUAAAAACAACAAAAAACUUAUGAUAUGAAUAUAAAGAAAUUCAGAGCUGAAAUCAAAACACGGGAGCAGCAGGGUGAGUCAGGGAACAGCACAGGCUUGCUGGCUGACGCUGUGCACCAUGGGGCUCUUGCACAAACCACACAGCACCGCAAAUGGGGUCAACUGCACAGCAACAGUGAUGAGCCCACCCUGGAUUUUUCUUAUCCAGAUCUUAUAGUUACAGAUGACUGGGGGCACUUAAAGAGUUUUAACAGUACUAACUCCAAACAAUAGUCAAUAAUCAAAUUACCUUGGGUAAGAAGCCUGAGUCUGCUGAGUAGGAAGGGCUGGGUUUGCAGAUGCUGGGACCACUCCUUGGCUGAGAGAAGACAGCUGCUCCGGGGGAAGACUGUAGCUCUGGAGAUGGCUCAUCUGCGCGUUCCCUGCAACCAGCUUUUCAUCAAUGAGAGGUCCCAUCUGGUGACACAUUGCUAAGAUGACAAGAUUUGAAAAAAAUAUUGUCCAGAAUGAAACAUAUGAGAAGAACUAGAAAACUCACAUUGAAGCUGCACUGCUUGCUAUAUGAUGGAAAAAAGUAUUUAACUUACAUUACGGCCAGAUUUGAAUCUAACAAUCCAAUGAAGGAGCCCAUGAAUCUACAAAUAAGAGGCCUCUGAUAAG